RNAcentral lists this ribosomal RNA (464 nucleotides) under uncultured bacterium. Its description in RNAcentral is "bacterial SSU rRNA". It matches the Rfam family "Bacterial small subunit ribosomal RNA", at positions 32 to 524 of the family's 1533-position model. The record is from RNAcentral.
AAUCAACGCUGGCGGCGUGCCUAACACAUGCACGUCGAACGAGAAAGUGGAGCAAUCCAUGAGUAAAGUGGCGCACGGGUGAGUAACACGUGACUAACCUACCCUUGAGUGGGGGAUAACCUAGGGAAACCUGGGCUAAUACCGCAUAAUACCUACGGGUCAAAGGAGCAAUUCGCUUUAGGAGGGGGUCGCGGCAGAUUAGUUAGUUGGCGGGGUAAUGGCCCACCAAGACGAUGANCUGUAUCCGGCCUGAGAGGGCGCACGGACACACUGGAACUGAAACACGGUCCAGACUCCUACGGGAGGCAGCAGUGGGGAAUUUUGCGCAAUGGGGGAAACCCUGACGCAGCAACGCCGCGUGGAGGAUGAAGACCCUUGGGUCGUAAACUCCUUUCGAUCGGGACGAUAAUGACGGUACCGGAAGAAGAAGCCCCGGCUAACUUCGUGCCAGCAGCCGCUGUAAG